Molecule: ribosomal RNA, 403 nt
Filed under: Bacteroidota bacterium
Lineage: Bacteria; Pseudomonadati; Bacteroidota
Description: Bacteroidetes bacterium partial 16S ribosomal RNA
Rfam family: Bacterial small subunit ribosomal RNA
Source: RNAcentral
UGGGGAAUAUUGCACAAUGGAGGGAACUCUGAUGCAGCGACGCCGCGUGAACGAAGAAGGCUUUCGAGUCGUAAAGUUCUUUUAUAUGGGAAGAUAAUGACGGUACCAUAAGAAAAAGCCCCGGCUAACUACGUGCCAGCAGCCGCGGUAAUACGUAGGGGGCUAGCGUUGUCCGGAAUCACUGGGCGUAAAGGGUUCGCAGGCGGAAAUGCAAGUCGGGUGUAAAAGGCAGUAGCUUAACUACUGUAAGCAUUUGAAACUGCAUAUCUUGAGAAGAGUAGAGGUAAGUGGAAUUUUUAGUGUAGCGGUGAAAUGCGUAGAUAGUAAAAAGAAGACCGGUGGCGAAGGCGACUUACUGGGCUCAUUCUGACGCUGAGGAACGAAAGCGUAGGUAGCAAACAGG